GGUGAGUAACGCGUAUCCAACCUGCCCACCACUUGGGGAUAACCUUGCGAAAGUAAGACUAAUACCCAAUGACGUCUCUAGAAGACAUCUGAAGGAGAUUAAAGAUUUAUCGGUGAUGGAUGGGGAUGCGUCUGAUUAGCUUGUUGGCGGGGUAACGGCCCACCAAGGCGACGAUCAGUAGGGGUUCUGAGAGGAAGGUCCCCCACAUUGGAACUGAGACACGGUCCAAACUCCUACGGGAGGCAGCAGUGAGGAAUAUUGGUCAAUGGACGAGAGUCUGAACCAGCCAAGUAGCGUGCAGGAUGACGGCCCUAUGGGUUGUAAACUGCUUUUAUAAGGGAAUAAAGUGAGUCUCGUGAGACUUUUUGCAUGUACCUUAUGAAUAAGGACCGGCUAAUUCCGUGCCAGCAGCCGCGGUAAUACGGAAGGUCCGGGCGUUAUCCGGAUUUAUUGGGUUUAAAGGGAGCGUAGGCCGGGGAUUAAGCGUGUUGUGAAAUGUAGACGCUCAACGUCUGCACUGCAGCGCGAACUGGUUUCCUUGAGUACGCACAAAGUGGGCGGAAUUCGUGGUGUAGCGGUGAAAUGCUUAGAUAUCACGAAGAACUCCGAUUGCGAAGGCAGCUCACUGGAGCGCAACUGACGCUGAAGCUCGAAAGUGCGGGUAUCGAACAGGAUUAGAUACCCUGGUAGUCCGCACGGUAAACGAUGGAUGCCCGCUGUUGGUCUGAAUAGGUCAGCGGCCAAGCGAAAGCAUUAAGCAUCCCACCUGGGGAGUACGCCGGCAACGGUGAAACUCAAAGGAAUUGACGGGGGCCCGCACAAGCGGAGGAACAUGUGGUU
This 840-nucleotide ribosomal RNA is filed under the name uncultured bacterium. Its description in RNAcentral is "bacterial SSU rRNA". It matches the Rfam family "Bacterial small subunit ribosomal RNA", at positions 105 to 946 of the family's 1533-position model. The record is from RNAcentral.